Molecule: long non-coding RNA, 1107 nt
Filed under: Helianthus annuus (common sunflower)
Lineage: Eukaryota; Viridiplantae; Streptophyta; Magnoliopsida; Asterales; Asteraceae
Description: hypothetical non coding rna
Source: RNAcentral
GUAGUCUUAUCCACCAACACCUGACCCGCAUAUCCCGGGUACGCACCCGACCCGAAUAUCCCCGUACAAGCCGAAACCGCCUCUAACGGCGCGUUAGCCGGCCCUUGAAAAUACCCUUGGUUAAACGGGUUCGUAACGGCACCGGCCAACACCGUAGCUAAAUUAAUCACCAUUCCGUCCACUCCAACGUCGCCGUUAGGAGAAACUAACGGCGGCGAUUGUGGCCCGUAUAUCGGUUGAUGAAACGGCCAUGCACACUGACCCGGACACUGAGUCUCCGAGUUACCAACCCACGCGUACGCGACCCGGUUACCCGUUUUCGUCGACCCGUGUGUCCCGCACCGGCUCCGACAAAACCCGUCUACACCGACUUCCUUUGCCGUUAACACGACGUUAAUGGAGUUUUUUUGUGAAACUUUUGUCGCUAAAUAUUGGAUAUGGUAGUUUUUUAAGAACUUUCCCAACGAGUAGUUUUCGUCGAGGAUUUGUUUACCGACGACCGUUGCUGACGACCCGUUGUGAUAUUUCUCAGUGGUUUUCCACCAUGUUGCGACGGAGGGUGGUGGCGGCGCCGACCUUUUUACCGUAUUAACGGUGUUUAAAGAUUGUAAAAAGUCAACGAUGAUUGACCGUUGGGUGGGUGUAAACUUACCAUACCAGACAAUAUUAACGGUAACGGGGCCUUUUAACAGAGCUCCGUUGUGAUAUUUUAAGACAAGGGGCUGCUGAGUGACCAAGGCUGAAAAAGAUAUUUUGAGGAACAAGAAGAUGAGAAGAAUGGCAAGAUGGUAAUUAUGAGCCAUGAGGAGGGUUAAAGUGGGAAGUGGGGAGGUAGUGAGGAUGGGGGUAUGCAGGGUUUGGUUUAUAUAGGGGAGACAGCUGUAGGGUCAUUAUGGUUUGGGGACACGUGGAAGAAGGGGAUUGGUGGGAGUGGUAGGAAGCCAGGCUGUAAGGUUCUGUUGACGUGGCGUGGUUAAGGGUUGAUGGUGACAUGGCAGAUUAAAAGCGUGGAUGCGUGUAUGGUGUAUGGAUGAUUAUGAUUCCAAUUAUAUGAAUUUUAAUUGGUGUUCUAUUUACUGGGAUGAUAUAUGUGGUGUAGAAAAAUAA